Molecule: long non-coding RNA, 1008 nt
Filed under: Gossypium raimondii (Peruvian cotton)
Lineage: Eukaryota; Viridiplantae; Streptophyta; Magnoliopsida; Malvales; Malvaceae
Description: long non-coding RNA (GRAI_LNC002296)
Source: RNAcentral
AGAACACAAGAUUGUGUUGGUGUAGCAGAAUUUGAGUAUAUAGAUGAGAAUUUCAGGCAUCCUGGGAAUCUGAUUGAAGGCUAAAAGAAACUACAAGCUUGGAGAGUUCAUUACUUGCAGCUUGGACCUGAUACUCAUCUGAUUCCCUCUGCCUUGACUGUCCAGAUCACCGUGAACUUAACCGACUAUAUUCAUUUGCAGCAACCCCAGUCUUCCUUGAAGUAGUAGGGGCUUUCUCCAAAUCAGUAUGUGAUAAGCCUUACUCCAGAUUAUUAAGGUUUAAUAUUCCUGAGUAGGAUUAUUCAAAAAACUAUUAAAACUAUACUUACUCCAGAUGGUUUUCCUUUCUUCUCCUCAACUACUAAGUCUCCUGCUUUCUUGCAGGGUUCAAGAAGGUCUGAACCUGUGUACCCUUCACACAAACUGGCUAUGUAGUCAAUGUUUUUAUUUUAAGUAGUUAACUUUUAAAGUUUUUAGUUAAUAAUAUAUAUUUAUCAAAUUAAAUAUUAAAAAUGUGAAAUUUUAUUCUUGUUAAUAGAACAUUAGAAAGAUGGAAAUAAGAAGAAUAUGGCGAAUUUCGAUAUUUGAAAUCUCAAUGUUGCAAUAAUGUUGCAAUAUCGAGUCUAAUGGAAACAGAUUGGAAAACUCACACUUAGAAGGCCACAUUAGCUUUUGGGCUUAACCCAUUUCUUAAUUAGGUCUUGAUAAUGAUCAAGAAUUAUAGACUAUGAGAAAAUGUAAAGGCCCAAACAAAAAUAGAAUAGGGAAGGGAGUUGACCUAGCUUACAAUCUUUUGAGGGAUGUAAAUACCACAUUUUCAAAACAUAGAUUGGCGGGUUGUUGGGUGCAAAAAGAACAGAACAUCAAUUUUUAGAAGGAACACGUUGGAGAAGAAAAAGAUCCGAAGAAGGAAGAAAGAGAGAAGAAACAACUAGAGGAAAACCACCUCAUUUAGCUCAUCAUCUCUUCACCUUUCUCUUUGUCUUUUAUUUCUUUUCCUUUGCUAUU